This 477-nucleotide long non-coding RNA is filed under the name Androctonus crassicauda. Lineage: Eukaryota; Metazoa; Arthropoda; Arachnida; Scorpiones; Buthidae. The record is from RNAcentral.
GUUUUUUAUGUGCAUUUGAAGAAAACUAUUGCUUUUUAAUCGGUUUUGGAACAUAAUUCCCGUUUUUAUGAAGGCCGAGACUUCGUCUCGCUACUUCUUCAUCGCUUCUCGGCCUUUUGGCACAGACCAAAGUUGGUAUUUCUUCGAAAGGCCGAGUUUGCUAAUUACAGUUUCUCACUGUGCUUUUUUGUAUUUUUCAGUGUUUAAUUGUGCGGAAUCCUGGUACUGGUGUUGUUGUUCUUCUGGCUGGUCAGUGGCUUGUAAGUACUUUUUGUGUUCUUAGGACUAAGUUGCCUGCGGGACCUCCGGCAGUUUUAUUGCUGACGGGUUCGUUCUAAACGCGCGGCCACUAUCCCUAUGGGUGAACCCAUCGUUACGAUUUUGCCACUAACGUUAUCGUCGCUGUAUCUGCAAGGGAUUACCUAUCUGGUCUUCAUUGGUGACUGUAUUUACCUGCAUUAUCCUAGUGUUGGCUAG